CCCCUACCCCUCUAUCCUUCCUUUUCAUUUUCUUUUUCUCCACCUCAUUUUUUUUUGUCUUCCUUUCCAUUUUCCUCCCCUACCCUCUCUCCCCAUCCCCAGCUCAGACUGCCACAGGACCACACCCCUUUCCCCUCUUCAUUUUCCUCUCUUUUUUUUUUUUUUUCUCUUUUGUUUCUUCUUUUCCUCUUCCCCACACCCAUUUCUUCCCUCACCCAAAAAGCCAUCCAAUCUCACCGCCGCCCGUAGCACCGUCGACGCCACUGCCGCCCGGCGACGUAACUGCCGGCUGGCAACCCCCCUUCCACCCAUCUCACAUUUCCCCAUUUUCUUCAAAUUUAUGUGAGUUUAUUUUUUUAUUUUAUUUUAUUAUUAUUAUUAUUAUUAUUUAAUUUUUACAGUAAUUUAUUAUUGAUUAUUAAGAUUGUUUGUUUGAGCUAAUUUAUAUUAUUUUUGGGUUUGCGUUUACUUGGGGGUAUUAUUUCUAAGCUUUGGGUUAAGUUUAGAUAGUUUGGAACCUUGUAUUUUGAUUCGGGUCUUGUUUGUUAAUGUAUGUUUUAUUUAGAUUUAGUAAUAAUUGGAUUUUGGAUUUGAUUUGCAUGUUAAAUUAGGUUUGGAUCAUGGGUAUUAAAUUUAGGUUUAAUUAAAUUUAUUUUGUUUUAUGAUAUUUCGGGCUUGACUAAAUUGCGUGAUUAUUGGAUAAGGAUAUUCAAAUGAGAGAUAUUUUUGUUGGGUAUAUUAAUUAAUUUGGAUUUUUUUCAUUUGUAAAAUUUAUUGGACCAAUUUAAAAUUUGAACUUGAGCUUGAAUAAUUAUUUUGGGCUCCGCAUAUUUCUGGAUAUUUACAUCUGAGCUCAUUUUUGUUUUACAUGGAUUGCACGGAUUGCACGGAUAUGUCACAAGAACCAAAUUUCAUGGAAGAAAAUAAGGUUUACGAAAGUUGUAAAUGGGGCAUUGAGCUUGUUGUAGGCUUGUCAAGACGUAAUACCAACACACAGUUGUAGCAUUUGAAAGUAUUGAUGAAAUACAUAAAUGAAAGUUCAAACCCCAUGAGUAGCUCUUCUUGCAAAUCUGACAUUGAUAAAUGUCUUCCCUCCGCAACGGCCUU
Molecule: long non-coding RNA, 1107 nt
Organism: Vitis vinifera (wine grape)
Lineage: Eukaryota; Viridiplantae; Streptophyta; Magnoliopsida; Vitales; Vitaceae
Exons: 3
Source: RefSeq, a predicted model, not a curated record